CCAAUAGCGUAUAUUAAAGUUGUUGCAGUUAAAAAGCUCGUAGUUGAAUUUCGGGAUCAAUUUACUGGUCGUGCUACUGUACGUACUGGUUUUAUUGAUUUCUCCCUUCUGACGAACUGCGAUGUCAUUAAUUUGAUGUCGUGGGGAAUCAGGACUGUUACUUUGAAAAAAUUAGAGUGUUUAAAGCAGGCACAAGCUUGAAUACAUUAGCAUGGAAUAAUGAAAUAGGACGUUUGAUCUUAUUUUGUUGGUUUCUAGGAUCGACGUAAUGAUUAAUAGGGAUAGUUGGGGGCAUUAGUAUUCAAUUGUCAGAGGUGAAAUUCUUGGAUUUAUUGAAGACUAACUACUGCGAAAGCAUUUGCCAAGGAUGUUUUCAUUAAUCAAGAACGAAAGUUAGGGGAUCGAAGACGAUCAGAUACCGUCGUAGUCUUAACCAUAAACUAUGCCGACUAGGGAUCGGAUGAUGUUAAUUUUUUAAUGACUCAUUCGGCGCCUUACG
Molecule: ribosomal RNA, 499 nt
Filed under: uncultured Glomeromycotina
Lineage: Eukaryota; Fungi; Glomeromycota
Description: partial small subunit ribosomal RNA
Rfam family: Eukaryotic small subunit ribosomal RNA
Source: RNAcentral